This 253-nucleotide ribosomal RNA is filed under the name uncultured bacterium. RNAcentral's name for it is "partial 16S ribosomal RNA". It matches the Rfam family "Bacterial small subunit ribosomal RNA", at positions 524 to 776 of the family's 1533-position model. The record is from RNAcentral.
UACGAAGGGGGCUAGCGUUGCUCGGAAUCACUGGGCGUAAAGGGUGCGUAGGCGGGUCUUUAAGUCAGGGGUGAAAUCCUGGAGCUCAACUCCAGAACUGCCUUUGAUACUGAAGAUCUUGAGUCCGGGAGAGGUGAGUGGAACUGCGAGUGUAGAGGUGAAAUUCGUAGAUAUUCGCAAGAACACCAGUGGCGAAGGCGGCUCACUGGCCCGGUACUGACGCUGAGGCACGAAAGCUAGGGUAGCGAACGGG